This 108-nucleotide Y RNA is filed under the name Propithecus coquereli (Coquerel's sifaka). RNAcentral describes it as "Y RNA (ENSPCOG00000012153.1)". It matches the Rfam family "Y RNA". From Rfam's summary of the family: Y RNAs are components of the Ro ribonucleoprotein particle (Ro RNP), in association with Ro60 and La proteins. The Y RNAs and Ro60 and La proteins are well conserved, but the function of the Ro RNP is not known. Lineage: Eukaryota; Metazoa; Chordata; Mammalia; Primates; Indriidae. The record is from Rfam by way of RNAcentral.
GGCUGGUCCAAAGGCAGUGAGUUAUCUCACUUGAUUGUUCACAGUUACAGACUGAACUUGUUCUACUACCUUCCCCCACUUCUCACUACUGUACUUGACUAGUCUAAA